This 325-nucleotide transfer-messenger RNA is filed under the name Rhodospirillales bacterium. It matches the Rfam family "Alphaproteobacteria transfer-messenger RNA". Rfam says of the family: Bacterial tmRNA, also known as 10Sa RNA or SsrA, is named for its dual tRNA and mRNA-like properties. The record is from RNAcentral. Lineage: Bacteria; Pseudomonadati; Pseudomonadota; Alphaproteobacteria; Rhodospirillales.
CCCCUUCCCGCGCCGGGCUGGAGCGCCUAUAUUGGGGGUGCCGGGCAACCGGCUAUGGCGAUAAACGCCGCGUGGCAUAGACGGAUCGGACCCGGGGGCAGUACCCGGCGCCUCCACCAAUUCCAGCGGUCCCCUUCCAGGGACCGCUCCAUGGGGGCGACACAGGAUCGACGGACGUAGUAAAGGCGCGGUUUUUGCUCGGUAUGGUUCCGCCGUGACGGGCCAAACACAAGUGCCAACGACAACGUAGCACUCGCUGCUGCCGCCUAAACAGCGGACGUAAGCGCGGUUCGGGGGGGCACCGGGCAACAGAAGCCCCCUCACU